Molecule: ribosomal RNA, 292 nt
Filed under: uncultured bacterium
Lineage: Bacteria
Description: partial 16S ribosomal RNA
Rfam family: Bacterial small subunit ribosomal RNA
Source: RNAcentral
GUGCCAGCCGCCGCGGUAAUACGGAGGGUGCAAGCGUUGUCCGGAAUCAUUGGGUGUAAAGGGUGCGCAGGCGGGCUGUUAAGUCUGGGGUGAAAUCUUACCGCUCAACGGUAAACGUGCCUUGGAUACUGACAGUCUUGAGUAUGAUAGAGGUCGGUGGAAUUCGUAGUGUAGCGGUGAAAUGCAUAGAUAUUACGAAGAACACCAGUGGUGAAAACGGCCGGCUGGAUCAUAACUGACGCUCAGGCACGAGAGCGUGGGGAGCGAACAGGAUUAGAAACCCGUGUAGUCC